Suricata suricatta (meerkat) is the source of this 581-nucleotide long non-coding RNA. RefSeq lists it as uncharacterized. The record is from RefSeq and is a predicted model, not a curated record. Lineage: Eukaryota; Metazoa; Chordata; Mammalia; Carnivora; Herpestidae. The transcript is spliced from 4 exons.
UCCCAAGACCACAUUCCAAACCAAUCCAAUCAGAGUCUCUGGGGAUGGGAUUUAGACAGUGGGACUUUUCCAAGUUUUACCGGUGAUUGUAAUGUGCCGCCUGGGGGAAGGAUCACUGGACUGGAGCAUUAGUUUCAAAGGUUUAUUGUAAACCAGAUCCCUUGGAUGAAUUCAGAAGGUCUGGUUGGACUUACUCCUGACUCAUUUUCUGCUGUGCCAACAUUGCUGUGACAUGGGGUUGAUUUUUGGGUGUUUUCUAGAAGACUCCCUUCCCCAAAUGCCUUUCUGGAGACCCACAGAGCAGCCCCGCAGCCUCCCUGUAUUUGGCCUCAUGUUCCCUGGUUCCAGCCAUUGGAGCUUUGAUUUUCCAGGGAAUCGUUGAUGUUUCUCACUCCAAAAUGCAUGACACCAUGACUGCCAUCAAAGAACUGCUAGAAUGUCUAAUUACCACAAAGUAGCAGGAAAAACAGACCGACCUCAUGCCCUGAAUCUUUCAAAUGGCAGAGAUGAUGGACCAAUGACACCGACACCUCAGCUUCACAAUAUAUGGCACUUAAAAAAAUAAAGUGACUUGCUCCAUU